GAAAUUCCUUAAAAAAUAAUGCUCAUUUUGAUACGAAAUCAUGCUUGAAACAAUGCUACAAAAAGUAUGAGAGAAAAAAGGAAAAAAUGGGGCAGCAAAAGAGCAGGAGACUAGCACAACAACAUUAGAAACUUUUGAGUUGAGGCACCUCAAGUUAAACCUUCAUUGAUAUAACCUUCCUUGCGACCUUCAAACCCUGGCCUCGUGAGCUUUCUCUCUCUUCUCAAUCCUCCGCAUCUUCUUCUGCUCAAUUCUGCCAGC
RNAcentral lists this long non-coding RNA (261 nucleotides) under Populus tremula. RNAcentral's name for it is "long non-coding RNA (PTRE_LNC002817)". The record is from RNAcentral. Lineage: Eukaryota; Viridiplantae; Streptophyta; Magnoliopsida; Malpighiales; Salicaceae.